RNAcentral lists this ribosomal RNA (508 nucleotides) under uncultured bacterium. RNAcentral's name for it is "partial 16S ribosomal RNA". It matches the Rfam family "Bacterial small subunit ribosomal RNA", at positions 30 to 523 of the family's 1533-position model. The record is from RNAcentral.
AUUGAACGCUGGCGGCAGGCCUAACACAUGCAAGUCGAGCGGCAGCGGGAAAGUAGCUUGCUACUUUUGCCGGCGAGCGGCGGACGGGUGAGUAAUGCCUGGGGAUCUGCCCAGUCGAGGGGGAUAACUACUGGAAACGGUAGCUAAUACCGCAUACGCCCUACGGGGGAAAGCAGGGGACCUUCGGGCCUUGCGCGAUUGGAUGAACCCAGGUGGGAUUAGCUAGUUGGUGAGGUAAUGGCUCACCAAGGCGACGAUCCCUAGCUGGUCUGAGAGGAUGAUCAGCCACACUGGAACUGAGACACGGUCCAGACUCCUACGGGAGGCAGCAGUGGGGAAUAUUGCACAAUGGGGGAAACCCUGAUGCAGCCAUGCCGCGUGUGUGAAGAAGGCCUUCGGGUUGUAAAGCACUUUCAGCGAGGAGGAAAGGUUGGUAGCUAAUAACUGCCAGCUGUGACGUUACUCGCAGAAGAAGCACCGGCUAACUCCGUGCCAGCAGCCGCCGUAA